ACGAACGCUGGCGGCGUGCCUAAUACAUGCAAGUAGAACGCACAGUUUAUACCGUAGCUUGCUACACCAUAGACUGUGAGUUGCGAACGGGUGAGUAACGCGUAGGUAACCUGCCUGGUAGCGGGGGAUAACUAUUGGAAACGAUAGCUAAUACCGCAUAAUAUUGAUUAUUGCAUGAUAAUUGAUUGAAAGAUGCUAUUGCAUCACUACCAGAUGGACCUGCGUUGUAUUAGCUAGUAGGUGAGGUAACGGCUCACCUAGGCGACGAUACAUAGCCGACCUGAGAGGGUGAUCGGCCACACUGGGACUGAGACACGGCCCAGACUCCUACGGGAGGCAGCAGUAGGGAAUCUUCGGCAAUGGACGAAAGUCUGACCGAGCAACGCCGCGUGAGUGAAGAAGGUUUUCGGAUCGUAAAGCUCUGUUGUAAGAGAAGAACGGGUGUGAGAGUGGAAAGUUCACACUGUGACGGUAGCUUACCAGAAAGGGACGGCUAACUACGUG
Molecule: ribosomal RNA, 504 nt
Filed under: uncultured bacterium
Lineage: Bacteria
Description: partial 16S ribosomal RNA
Rfam family: Bacterial small subunit ribosomal RNA
Source: RNAcentral